RNAcentral lists this unclassified non-coding RNA (159 nucleotides) under uncultured Cheilymenia. Its description in RNAcentral is "sequence contains ITS2". The record is from RNAcentral. Lineage: Eukaryota; Fungi; Ascomycota; Pezizomycetes; Pezizales; Pyronemataceae.
AAAACCACUCAAGCUCUUUUGCUUGGUCAUGGAAGAGGAGUAUGCUAGUCAUUCUCCCUUUCGAAAUUCAAAGGCGGAAAGUCUCAUGUGCCCCGGCGUAGUAAGUUUUCUUUCGCUUGGAACAUGAGGUGAUCCUGCCACAAACCCCCAAUUUUUCUA